RNAcentral lists this transfer RNA (75 nucleotides) under Bacillota bacterium. RNAcentral describes it as "tRNA-Gln". It matches the Rfam family "tRNA". From Rfam's summary of the family: Transfer RNA (tRNA) molecules are approximately 80 nucleotides in length. Lineage: Bacteria; Bacillati; Bacillota. The record is from RNAcentral.
UGGGGCAUAGCCAAGCGGUAAGGCAGCGGACUUUGACUCCGCUAUGCGAUGGUUCGAAUCCAUCUGCCCCAGCCA